AAUAAUUGACAAAGUUCCCUUUAAGGUACAUUUUGAACAGAUAAACAAUAACAAAUAAAAAAAUGUGCGAUUAACUGCGAUAAACUAUGGACAAUCAUGCAAUUAAUCGCGAUAAAAUAUCUUAAACUAUACUUUUCAGAAGAAGACAAACCGUGUGUUUGGCAAAU
Long non-coding RNA from Sebastes umbrosus (honeycomb rockfish), 167 nucleotides. RefSeq lists it as uncharacterized. Lineage: Eukaryota; Metazoa; Chordata; Actinopteri; Perciformes; Sebastidae. The transcript has 3 exons. The record is from RefSeq and is a predicted model, not a curated record.